Molecule: ribosomal RNA, 536 nt
Filed under: Proteus mirabilis
Lineage: Bacteria; Pseudomonadati; Pseudomonadota; Gammaproteobacteria; Enterobacterales; Morganellaceae
Description: partial 23S ribosomal RNA
Rfam family: Bacterial large subunit ribosomal RNA
Source: RNAcentral
GGGUAGUUUGACUGGGGCGGUCUCCUCCUAAAGAGUAACGGAGGAGCACGAAGGUUGGCUAAGCAUGGUCGGACAUCAUGCGGUUAGUGCAAAGGCAUAAGCCAGCUUGACUGCGAGAGUGACGGCUCGAGCAGGUACGAAAGUAGGUCUUAGUGAUCCGGUGGUUCUGAAUGGAAGGGCCAUCGCUCAACGGAUAAAAGGUACUCCGGGGAUAACAGGCUGAUACCGCCCAAGAGUUCAUAUCGACGGCGGUGUUUGGCACCUCGAUGUCGGCUCAUCACAUCCUGGGGCUGAAGUAGGUCCCAAGGGUAUGGCUGUUCGCCAUUUAAAGUGGUACGCGAGCUGGGUUUAGAACGUCGUGAGACAGUUCGGUCCCUAUCUGCCGUGGGCGUUGGAAGAUUGAGAGGGGUUGCUCCUAGUACGAGAGGACCGGAGUGAACGCACCACUGGUGUUCGGGUUGUCAUGCCAAUGGCAUUGCCCGGUAGCUAAGUGCGGAAGAGAUAACCGCUGAAAGCAUCUAAGCGGGAAACUUGCC